UAAGAGAGGGUUGCAAACCUUACGAAUUGC
Molecule: non-coding RNA, 30 nt
Filed under: Rattus norvegicus (Norway rat)
Lineage: Eukaryota; Metazoa; Chordata; Mammalia; Rodentia; Muridae
Source: RNAcentral